Molecule: ribosomal RNA, 468 nt
Filed under: uncultured bacterium
Lineage: Bacteria
Description: partial 16S ribosomal RNA
Rfam family: Bacterial small subunit ribosomal RNA
Source: RNAcentral
GACGAACGCUGGCGGCGUGCUUAACACAUGCAAGUCGAACGGAAAGGCCCUGCUUUUGUGGGGUGCUCGAGUGGCGAACGGGUGAGUAACACGUGAGUAACCUGCCCUUGACUUUGGGAUAACUUCAGGAAACUGGGGCUAAUACCGGAUAGGAGCUCCUGCUGCAUGGUGGGGGUUGGAAAGUUUCGGCGGUUGGGGAUGGACUCGCGGCUUAUCAGCUUGUUGGUGGGGUAGUGGCUUACCAAGGCUUUGACGGGUAGCCGGCCUGAGAGGGUGACCGGCCACAUUGGGACUGAGAGACGGCCCAGACUCCUACGGGAGGCAGCAGGGGGGAAUAUUGCACAAUGGGCGGAAGCCUGAUGCAGCAACGCCGCGUGCGGGAUGACGGCCUUCGGGUGGUAAACCGCUUUCGCCUGUGACGAAGCGUGAGUGACGGUAAUGGGUAAAGAAGCACCGGCUAACUACGUG